CCCUUAGAUGUUCUGGGCCGCACGCGUGCUACACUGAGUGGAUCAGCGGGUCAGGUUGCGCGAAAGCGUUUCCUAAUCUUUAAAUCCGCUCGUGAUGGGGAUUGACGGUUGCAAUUUUCUGUCAUGAACGAGGAAUACCUUGUAAGCGCGGGUCAUCAUCCCGCGCUGAAUACGUCCCUGCCCUUUGUACACACCGCCCGUCGCUCCUACCGAUUGGGUGGUCCGGUGAGGCUUUGGGAUCUGAGCGGAAAGAGCGUUUCGCUGUUUCUGCUCGGAAAACUCAGCCGAACCUUAUCAUUUAGAGGAAGGAGAAGUCGUAACA
This 322-nucleotide ribosomal RNA is filed under the name uncultured eukaryote. Its description in RNAcentral is "partial 18S ribosomal RNA". It matches the Rfam family "Eukaryotic small subunit ribosomal RNA", at positions 1470 to 1796 of the family's 1831-position model. The record is from RNAcentral.